UCUUAAUCCUUAUAUUUAUGUUGAACACCAUUCAUCAACAUUUAUUUCUUUUUUUCCCCCUCAAUUUAUGGUGAAGACAUUGAGUUAGGAGCUUAUGGAAUUUUUAAAGGGAUUUCUUCCUCUUUUUUAACUUCUCAGCUUUCGUAUAUAGUUCUGUAAAUGGUCUUAUUAGAAGUGUUUUGUUGAUAGAUAUAUUUCAGAGAUUGGCCUGCCUUGUUAGGUGGGUUGAUUACACAUUUCUAUUUCUUCUUGUAAGGAUACCAUAUUCUUUACAUACUUCAUUCUUUUUUUUCUGAUUCUCUUCAUGAAAGUUGUUCCUGAUAAGAAAAUUGAUGAAAAAACCACUCAAAUUCAUAUAUCUCAUCUUAUAAGUACUUUUAGUUCUCUAAAAUUAGCAAGUAAGGACUCUGACAAAGAGUCAAAAGUGUUUGUUUGCAAUUGAUAGACAACUUGCAUGUCAAGAGUGAGGGAGAAACAUAGGAGAAAGAAAUGUUACGAUUCGAAAACCAUUUAUGAAGGACAAAGAAUGAGAAGAUUCUAGCUUGAAUGCAGUGGAAAUAAGCCUUGAAUUGUUGCUCUAUUUAGUCAUAUUUUUGACACGUUAAUUGACAAAAUAGAAAGUGGAAUAAAUAAUUUACUUUGCUCCAACUUUAGAAUUUUCUAAUUGGCAAGAUUAGAGCACUCUAUAUGUAUGACUUGUUUAGGAAAAUUUUCUAUUAAGUGUUGUACACUUGUACUUGCUUGUUUUUAUAUUAUGACUUGAUUUAGAUGUCACUGACAGGGAGAAAUCAUUUCUUCAUGCUGUAAAAUAGCAGCGAAUCAUAUUGGAUGAAGUGAGUUUUGAUAGCAUACUAUGAUCAAGAUUAAUGGAACUAUUUUACUUCUAUAAUUUUAACUUUCUAAUUUUCAUAAGAUGUUUUCUAAUGAAAUAGUUAUUUUGUACCUUUCCCUUUUUCCCUUAUUUCCACACAUGUGAGGGUGUUUUCUUUAUUGUUUGAAUAUCUCCAAGCAAAGUUUUAAUCUGCUAUCUCCUACUUAUGGUUACAGUUUAUUUUGUUUUAUUUUAAAGCUAAUGACUUGUUACUUAAUGUAAGACCCAGAAUUUUUGAAAAGGUUUAUUGAAAACUAAUUUCAAAUUCGAUUAUUUAUUUCUAACUUUAAUUUCAGAAAUUACUUUAUUAAAAAAUAUUUAAAGCAAGUUUUGAUUAAUUGAAUUUGAAAUAAAUUAAGAUCCUUAUCCAAUUAUACAAUUAUUGAAUUAUUUUUUUUAUAUUUGGAUUAUAAAGUGGUAGUUAUGAAAUAAUAAGAAUUUUAAGUUUUAAAAAUAAAGAAAAUUAAUCUUAUGAUCUUAUAAUUUCAAUUAAAAUAUUCGAUUUUAAAUUAAUUAGUAUUUCGAUACAAUAAAUAAUGUUUUUGAAGUAAUUUUAAGUAUUUAAUUAGAAUUCAAAUUAAUAUCCUAUGCCCUAAUUUUAUUAAAAUUACCAUACUCUAAUAAAACCCAAAAUCCCCAAAUUAAAACCCUAAUUUUUUUUACCUAACCCUAGCUACCCCAACCCACACACAUAACACACACAACCAGUACCCUCCGUCACUCUUCCUCACCCUCUCAACACACACACACACCCAAAGAAAGAAAGGAAACAGAGGGAACAGGGAGAGCAGAGGGGAAGGGAGAUCGGUGAAGGAAAAUAAAAGAGGGAGGAGCUGCGCCACCACUGUCGGCCUUAGGCUCGGCAUUUAAGCCUGUAGCGUCACCGCCCAACCGCGUCCAGCCCACCACCCGUCACUGCCAUCGUGUGUUGCCAUUGAAGGAGGAGGAGCGCGAACCAGAUCCGCGAGGAGAGGGAGUCGUGCCGCUGUCCCUACGCCGUCGCGGAUUAGAUCUGAGGCGAGGGAGAGGACCGCGUUGGAGGAAGGAGUCGCGCUACCCAGUUGCCGUCUGUGGGGAGUUAUCGCCAGUCUGCACGCCACCAACUUCGCCGGCGUUGUCACAAAAAGGAGAGAGAGCCACGUAGGAGGAGAACAAUCGUCGCGGAGCUGUCUCUGCCACUGCGCCCAGCUGCUGUUGCGAGCCUCAUCGCCGCUAAGGGGGGUGCGUUACCAAGCUCCUACUGUCGGAGAACCCCGCUGCGGUCACUGAUGACCACUGCCAUCGCUGUCGCCAGAGUUCUUGUCACCGUUGUAGUUUGGGAUGGCUGUCGAGGCUGCUGUUAGAUCAAUUCAAAGACCGUUGCUGUUUCGUUUUUCUUAUUUUGGGUCAUGUUCUGAGCAAUGCAUGUCGCUUUUAAGUUGCUUUGAGUGCUGUGAAAGUGAUCAGGGACUAAGUUUGUGGUUGCUGUUGGUUUCGAGUUGAGAGAAAAGGUUUCCUUGGCACGUUUUAGGUUAUGGUUUCGACUUGUCGAGGUAGGGGCUGUCUAUAAAAACUAAUUCAUUUAAAGUUGGAAUUAUUAUAAAUAGAUAUGAUGUGCAAAAAGCAUUUCUGGUGAUUAUGUAAGUCUUAUGAAUUGUCUGAUUUGUAUUGUAUAAAUAUGGUUGUCUAUUUGUUUGAAAUAAUGUCUGAUUUUGUACAAAAUGGAGGUUUUUGUUGUUUUGAAUUGAAAGGAUUUUAGUAUUUGAAGUCUGAAUUUUACUUAUUGGAAACUAAUUUAGUCUUGAAUCCCUUGUAAAAGAGUUGAGGAUUGGUUUGGUUGGGACUCGAAAAGGGUGACAAAGUCUAUGUUUUAAGGGAGAUGCUGCCGAAAUUUCUAUAAAAUCUGAGAUUUUGCUCGAAGCAUUAUUUCAAAAAUAAUGAAUUAUGCUUUGAAUUGAAUGUCUGAUAAAUGAAUUAUAUUUGAACUUAUCUUAUUAAGAAAA
This is a long non-coding RNA of Arachis stenosperma, 2853 nucleotides long. RefSeq lists it as uncharacterized. The transcript is spliced from 3 exons. Lineage: Eukaryota; Viridiplantae; Streptophyta; Magnoliopsida; Fabales; Fabaceae. The record is from RefSeq and is a predicted model, not a curated record.